GGGAGGAUAGCAUAAUUGGUUAAUGUACCGUUUUGUCAAGACGGGGUAUGGCGGUUCGAGCCCGCUUCUUCUCG
Molecule: transfer RNA, 74 nt
Filed under: Trichosporon inkin
Lineage: Eukaryota; Fungi; Basidiomycota; Tremellomycetes; Trichosporonales; Trichosporonaceae
Also listed under: 1 other name
Description: tRNA-Asp
Rfam family: tRNA
About the family: Transfer RNA (tRNA) molecules are approximately 80 nucleotides in length. Their secondary structure includes four short double-helical elements and three loops (D, anti-codon, and T loops).
Source: RNAcentral